UCCGACCUCAGAUCGGACGAGAUUACCCGCUGAAUUUAAGCAUAUAACUAAGCGGAGGAAAAGAAACUAACAAGGAUUUCCCCAGUAACGGCGAGUGAAGCGGGAAGAGCCCAGCACCGAAUCCCUCAGUGUCACGCUGACGGGAACUGUGGUGUGUGGGACGCCACCAGUCGCGUCAGAGGGCGCCGAAGUCCUCCUGAUCGGGGCUUCACCCAGAGCGGGUGUAAGGCCUUUGCAGGUGCCUCUCUGCGCGGCCGCGAGCGUCUCAGGAGUCGGGUUGUUUGGGAAUGCAGCCCCAAAGC
RNAcentral lists this ribosomal RNA (302 nucleotides) under Hirasea chichijimana. RNAcentral describes it as "eukaryotic LSU rRNA". It matches the Rfam family "Eukaryotic large subunit ribosomal RNA", at positions 1 to 294 of the family's 3401-position model. The record is from RNAcentral. Lineage: Eukaryota; Metazoa; Mollusca; Gastropoda; Stylommatophora; Charopidae.